AGCCAGCAGUGUCUGUGAGACCAGGCAGGGCUGCUGAAGUCCUACAGAGCAGCAGUGUUGAUGGACCAUCCUUGCCUUUCCUCUGCAUCCUCCUGGGAUUGGCCCCCGAGGUACCAGAAGGAUUUUGUUGAAGGCCCCCCGGACAGACCACCCGGCUCUGUACAGGGACCUGCUGCGGACCAGCCGCGUGCACUGGAUCGCGGAGGAGCCGCCUGCCGCUCUGGUCCGGGACAAAAUGAUGGAGUGCCACUUCCGGUUCCGCCACCAGAUGGCGCUAGUGCCCUGUGUACUGACCCUCAAUCAAGAUGGCACCGUUUGGGUGACGGCUGUGAAGGCUGUGCGGGCCCUCGCCCCGGGACAGUUUGCCGUCUUCUACAAAGGGGACGAGUGUCUGGGCAGCGGGAAAAUCCUGCGCUUGGGGCCAUCUGCCUACGUACUCCAGAAAGGCAAGAGCAGGUCCAGAGCGGCCACCGAGGGCCCCAGCGAUGGCAACGGCCCAGGCCGGGACCCCACGCCCUGAAGGAGGCAGAGCUGCUGCUGAGCGCCCAGGAGCAGAUAGCGGAGCAGAGCCUGGGGUGGAGCAGGCCAGGGGGAGCUGGGCUGAGUCCACCGCCCCAGUUCCGUCCAGGCUGGCCACGGUACCGGAAAGCCUCCGGUACCGGAAAGCCUCCAGAGCCCGGGAGAGCCCCAGAAAGCCCUGCCCUGUCAUCUCCAAGUGGGUGCUCUGGCCAGAAGGACGUGCUGCCUAGUGGGCGGGUCCGAGCAGCCCGUUGAUAGAGUUGCUCUUCCCUGCCGCACGAAGGUUCCCCCUCGCAAGCACGUGGGCGGCCUGCCAAGGAGGCUGCAGGGACGAUCCAAUAAAACGUGUGUCUGGGACA
This 878-nucleotide long non-coding RNA is filed under the name Ursus americanus (American black bear). Its description in RNAcentral is "lncRNA (ENSUAMG00000024826.1)". The record is from RNAcentral. Lineage: Eukaryota; Metazoa; Chordata; Mammalia; Carnivora; Ursidae.